ACUAAGUGAGCUACUUAAGAAUAGCUUCCUAGAGCCAACCCCUCUCUGUCGCAAAAGAGUGGGACAAUUUUUAAGUAGAGGCGAUAAACCAACCGAACUCAGAGAUAGCUGGUUUUUUAAGAAAUGAAUUUUAGUUCAGCCCUAAGCCUCAAAACUAAACAGAAAGUUUACUUAGACUUAGGAGUUAUUCAGAUAAGGCACAGCUUAUCUGAAACAGGAUACAACCUGCAUUAUUGGGUAAGAUAUUGAAUUGAGAUUAAGUAGGCCUAAAAGCAGCCACCUUUAAAAUAGCGUCAAAGCUUAAUUUGAUAAUUUUAUUAAUUUCCUAAACUACCUCUAACCCAUUUUUUCUAUUAAAAAACUCCAUAAAACUAUGGAAAUUAUUAUGCUAGAACGAGUAACAAGAAAAAGAAUUUCUCCAAAAUGUAAGCUUAAGCCACAAUAGACACCCUACUGGCAGUUAACGUUUAUAAAUAAUUUGUAGUAACAUCAACAAGAAAACUCUAUAUUUUUUUACGUCAAUCUUACACUA
Molecule: ribosomal RNA, 532 nt
Filed under: Boophis tasymena
Lineage: Eukaryota; Metazoa; Chordata; Amphibia; Anura; Mantellidae
Description: partial 16S ribosomal RNA
Rfam family: Bacterial large subunit ribosomal RNA (bases 1-392)
Source: RNAcentral